Molecule: ribosomal RNA, 484 nt
Filed under: uncultured bacterium
Lineage: Bacteria
Description: partial 16S ribosomal RNA
Rfam family: Bacterial small subunit ribosomal RNA
Source: RNAcentral
AUUGAACGCUGGCGGCAGGCCUAACACAUGCAAGUCGAGCGGAUGAAGGGAGCUUGCUCCUGGAUUCAGCGGCGGACGGGUGAGUAAUGCCUAGGAAUCUGCCUGGUAGUGGGGGAUAACGUCCGGAAACGGGCGCUAAUACCGCAUACGUCCUGAGGGAGAAAGUGGGGGAUCUUCGGACCUCACGCUAUCAGAUGAGCCUAGGUCGGAUUAGCUAGUUGGUGGGGUAAAGGCCUACCAAGGCGACGAUCCGUAACUGGUCUGAGAGGAUGAUCAGUCACACUGGAACUGAGACACGGUCCAGACUCCUACGGGAGGUAGCAGUGGGGAAUAUUGGACAAUGGGCGAAAGCCUGAUCCAGCCAUGCCGCGUGUGUGAAGAAGGUCUUCGGAUUGUAAAGCGCUUUAAGUUGGGAGGAAGGGCAGUAAGUUAAUACCUUGCUGUUUUGACGUUACCAACAGAAUAAGCACCGGCUAACUUCGUG